This 820-nucleotide ribosomal RNA is filed under the name uncultured Desulfomicrobium sp. RNAcentral describes it as "bacterial SSU rRNA". It matches the Rfam family "Bacterial small subunit ribosomal RNA", at positions 34 to 843 of the family's 1533-position model. The record is from RNAcentral. Lineage: Bacteria; Pseudomonadati; Thermodesulfobacteriota; Desulfovibrionia; Desulfovibrionales; Desulfomicrobiaceae.
CGUUGGCGGGUGCUACCAUGCAGUCGUACGAGAAAGGGGCUUCGGCCCUGAGUAGAGUGGCGCACGGGUGAGUAACGCGUGGGUAAUCUACCCUUGGAUUUGGGAUAACUCUGCGAAAGUGGAGCUAAUACCGGAUAGUCUGGCUUUAAAUAAGAAGUCGGUAAAGGAUGCCUCUGCAUAUGCAUUCGUCCGAGGAUGAGCCCGCGUCUCAUUAGCUAGUUGGUAGGGUAAUGGCCUACCAAGGCAACGAUGAGUAGCUGGUCUGAGAGGAUGAUCAGCCACACUGGAACUGAAACACGGUCCAGACUCCUACGGGAGGCAGCAGUGGGGAAUAUUGCGCAAUGGGCGAAAGCCUGACGCAGCAACGCCGUGUGAGGGAUGAAGGCUUUCGGGUCGUAAACCUCUGUCGGAAGGGAAGAACGGGCAUUGGUCUAAUAGGCCUUUGUUUUGACGGUACCUUUAGAGGAAGCACCGGCUAACUCCGUGCCAGCAGCCGCGGUAAUACGGAGGGUGCAAGCGUUAUUCGGAAUUACUGGGCGUAAAGCGCACGUAGGCGGCCUUGUAAGUCAGGGGUGAAAUCCCACGGCUCAACCGUGGAACUGCCUUUGAAACUGCAGGGCUUGAAUCCUGGAGAGGGUGGCGGAAUUCCUGGUGUAGGAGUGAAAUCCGUAGAUAUCAGGAGGAACACCGGUGGCGAAGGCGGCCACCUGGACAGGUAUUGACGCUGAGGUGCGAAAGUGUGGGGAGCAAACAGGAUUAGAUACCCUGGUAGUCCACACCGUAAACGAUGGAUACUACGUGUCGGGGACUUGAUCUUCGG